AUUGAACGCUGGCGGCAGGCUUAACACAUGCAAGUCGAGCGGGGUGAUGGUGCUUGCACUAUCACUUAGCGGCGGACGGGCGAGUAAUGCUUAGGAAUCUGCCUAUUAGUGGGGGACAACAUCUCGAAAGGGAUGCUAAUACCGCAUACGUCCUACGGGAGAAAGCAGGGGAUCACUUGUGACCUUGCGCUAAUAGAUGAGCCUAAGUCGGAUUAGCUAGUUGGUGGGGUAAAGGCCUACCAAAGCGACGAUCUGUAGCGGGUCUGAGAGGAUGGUCGGCCACACUGGGACUGGGACAAGGCCCAGACUCCUACGGGAGGCAGCAGUGGGGAAUAUUGGACAAUGGGGGGAACCCUGAUCCAGCCAUGCCGCGUGUGUGAAGAAGGCCUUAUGGUUGUAAAGCACUUUAAGCGAGGAGGAGGCUCUUUUGGUUAAUACCCAAGAUGAGUGGACGUUACUCGCAGAAUAAGCACCGGCUAACUCUGUGCCAGCCGCCGCGGUAA
Molecule: ribosomal RNA, 503 nt
Filed under: uncultured bacterium
Lineage: Bacteria
Description: partial 16S ribosomal RNA
Rfam family: Bacterial small subunit ribosomal RNA
Source: RNAcentral